Molecule: transfer RNA, 64 nt
Filed under: Flustra foliacea (greater hornwrack)
Lineage: Eukaryota; Metazoa; Bryozoa; Gymnolaemata; Cheilostomatida; Flustridae
Description: tRNA-Arg
Source: RNAcentral
AAAAGAUUAGUAUAAUAUAGUACAUUUGAUUUCGAAUCAUGAAGUGUCGAGGAGAUGUCUUUUU